UGGAGCCAACCUUGAAAUACCACCCUGAUUUAUUUGAGGUUCUAACCUUGAUCCGUGAAUCCGGAUCGGGGACCGUGCAUGGUGGGCAGUUUGACUGGGGCGGUCUCCUCCCAAAAGGUAACGGAGGAGUACGAAGGUACGCUUAGGGCGGUCGGACAUCGCCCAUAAAGUGCAAUGGCAAAAGCGUGCUUGACUGCGAGACCCACAAGUCGAGCAGGUGCGAAAGCAGGUCAUAGUGAUCCGGUGGUUCUGUAUGGAAGGGCCAUCGCUCAACGGAUAAAAGGUACUCUGGGGAUAACAGGCUGAUACCGCCCAAGAGUUCAUAUCGACGGCGGUGUUUGGCACCUCGAUGUCGGCUCAUCACAUCCUGGGGCUGUAGCCGGUCCCAAGGGUAUGGCUGUUCGCCAUUUAAAGUGGUACGUGAGCUGGGUUUAAAACGUCGUGAGACAGUUUGGUCCCUAUCUGCCGUGGGCGCUGGAAAUUUGAAGGGGGCUGGCUCCUAGUACGAGAGG
RNAcentral lists this ribosomal RNA (512 nucleotides) under uncultured bacterium. Its description in RNAcentral is "bacterial LSU rRNA". It matches the Rfam family "Bacterial large subunit ribosomal RNA", at positions 2181 to 2690 of the family's 2925-position model. The record is from RNAcentral.